GUGGGGAAUAUUGCACAAUGGGGGAAACCCUGAUGCAGCGACGCCGCGUGAGUGAAGAAGUAUUUCGGUACGUAAAGCUCUAUCAGCAAGGAAGAAAAUGACGGUACUUGACUAAGAAGCCCCGGCUAACUACGUGCCAGCAGCCGCGGUAAUACGUAGGGGGCAAGCGUUAUCCGGAUUUACGGGGUGUAAAGGGAGCGUAGACGGUAUGGUAAGUCAGAUGUGAAAGCCCGGGGCUCAACCCCGGGACUGCAUUUGAAACUAUCAGACUAGAGUGCAGGAGAGGUAAGUGGAAUUCCUAGUGUAGCGGUGAAAUGCGUAGAUAUUAGGAGGAACACCAGUGGCGAAGGCGGCUUACUGGACUGUAACUGACGUUGAGGCUCGAAAGCGUGGGGAGCAAACAGGAUUAGAUACCCGUGUAGUCC
RNAcentral lists this ribosomal RNA (425 nucleotides) under uncultured bacterium. RNAcentral's name for it is "partial 16S ribosomal RNA". It matches the Rfam family "Bacterial small subunit ribosomal RNA", at positions 354 to 796 of the family's 1533-position model. The record is from RNAcentral.